CUUCGGGCCUCUCGCGUCAGGAUAUGCCUAGGUGGGAUUAGCUAGUUGGUGAGGUAAGGGCUCACCAAGGCGACGAUCCCUAGCUGGUCUGAGAGGAUGAUCAGCCACACUGGAACUGAGACACGGUCCAGACUCCUACGGGAGGCAGCAGUGGGGAAUAUUGCACAAUGGGCGCAAGCCUGAUGCAGCCAUGCCGCGUGUGUGAAGAAGGCCUUCGGGUUGUAAAGCACUUUCAGUCGUGAGGAAGGUGGUAGUGUUAAUAGCACUAUCAUUUGACGUUAGCGACAGAAGAAGCACCGGCUAACUCCGUGCCAGCAGCCGCGGUAAUACGGAGGGUGCGAGCGUUAAUCGGAAUUACUGGGCGUAAAGCGCAUGCAGGUGGUUUGUUAAGUCAGAUGUGAAAGCCCGGGGCUCAACCUCGGAAUAGCAUUUGAAACUGGCAGACUAGAGUACUGUAGAGGGGGGUAGAAUUUCAGGUGUAGCGGUGAAAUGCGUAGAGAUCUGAAGGAAUACCGGUGG
Molecule: ribosomal RNA, 519 nt
Filed under: Vibrio alginolyticus
Lineage: Bacteria; Pseudomonadati; Pseudomonadota; Gammaproteobacteria; Vibrionales; Vibrionaceae
Description: bacterial SSU rRNA
Rfam family: Bacterial small subunit ribosomal RNA
Source: RNAcentral